AGCUGGUAUCAAGCACGCUUCAAAGUAGCUCAUAACACCUUGCUCAGCCACACCCCCACGGGAAACAGCAGUGAUAAGAAUUAAGCAAUAAAUGAAAGUUUGACUAAGUUACACUAGUAUUAGGGCUGGUAAAUUUCGUGCCAGCCACCGCGGUCAUACGAUUGGCCCAAGCUAAUAGACAAUCGGCGUAAAGCGUGUUUUAGAUUAUAAUUAAAAAUAAAGCCAAAUUUUGACCAAGCUGUAAAAAGCCUCGAUCACUGUAAGACACGUGACGAAAGUAGCUUUAAGAUCUCUGACUACACAAUAGCUAAGACCCAAACUGGGAUUAGAUACCCCACUAUGCUUAGCCCUAAACAUAGAAAAUUAUGAACAAAAUUAUUCGCCAGAGUACUACCAGCAAAAGCUAGAAACUCAAAGGACUUGGCGGUGCCUUAUAUCCUUCUAGAGGAGCCUGUUCCAUAAUCGAUAAACCCCGAUAAACCCGACCAACCUUUGCCAAAUCAGCCUAUAUACCGCCAUCUUCAGCAAACCCUAAAAAGGAAGCACAGUAAGCACAAAUAUUAACAUAAACACGUUAGGUCAAGGUGUAGCCUAUAGGUUGGAGAGAAAUGGGCUACAUUUCCCAAACCAGGGACAUAUUACGAAAAUUUAUGUGAAACCAUUAGUCAAAGGUGGAUUUAGCAGUAAAUUGAGAAUAGAGCGCUUAAUUGAAUGAGGCCAUGAGGCACGCACACACCGCCCGUCACCCUCCUCAAGCAAUAA
This 762-nucleotide ribosomal RNA is filed under the name Neoromicia zuluensis (Zulu serotine). RNAcentral describes it as "partial small subunit ribosomal RNA". It matches the Rfam family "Bacterial small subunit ribosomal RNA", at positions 287 to 1416 of the family's 1533-position model. The record is from RNAcentral. Lineage: Eukaryota; Metazoa; Chordata; Mammalia; Chiroptera; Vespertilionidae.